CCUACGGGUGGCAGCAGUGAGGAAUAUUGGUCAAUGGGCGUAAGCCUGAACCAGCCAAGUCGCGUGAGGGAUGAAGGUUCUAUGGAUCGUAAACCUCUUUUAUAAGGGAAUAAAGUGUGGGACGUGUCCUAUUUUGUAUGUACCUUAUGAAUAAGGAUCGGCUAACUCCGUGCCAGCAGCCGCGGUAAUACGGAGGAUCCGAGCGUUAUCCGGAUUUAUUGGGUUUAAAGGGUGCGUAGGCGGCCUUUUAAGUCAGCGGUGAAAGUCUGUGGCUCAACCUGUGUAUGGCACUUGAUACUUGCAAGCUGGAAUGCGGUAGAGGUAAAGGGAAUUCCUGGUGUAGCGGUGAAAUGCUUAGAUAUCAGGAGGAACAUCGGUGGCGUAAGCGCUUUACUGGGCCGUAAUUGACGCUGAGGAACGAAAGCCAGGGUAGCAAAUGGGAUUAGAUACCCGUGUAGUC
RNAcentral lists this ribosomal RNA (460 nucleotides) under uncultured bacterium. Its description in RNAcentral is "partial 16S ribosomal RNA". It matches the Rfam family "Bacterial small subunit ribosomal RNA", at positions 338 to 795 of the family's 1533-position model. The record is from RNAcentral.